Molecule: ribosomal RNA, 497 nt
Filed under: uncultured bacterium
Lineage: Bacteria
Description: partial 16S ribosomal RNA
Rfam family: Bacterial small subunit ribosomal RNA
Source: RNAcentral
GAUGAACGCUGGCGGCGUGCCUAAUACAUGCAAGUCGAGCGAACAGACGAGGAGCUUGCUCCUCUGACGUUAGCGGCGGACGGGUGAGUAACACGUGGAUAACCUACCUAUAAGACUGGGAUAACUUCGGGAAACCGGAGCUAAUACCGGAUAAUAUAUGGAACCGCAUGGUUCAAUAGUGAAAGACGGUUUUGCUGUCACUUAUAGAUGGAUCCGCGCCGCAUUAGCUAGUUGGUAAGGUAACGGCUUACCAAGGCAACGAUGCGUAGCCGACCUGAGAGGGUGAUCGGCCACACUGGAACUGAGACACGGUCCAGACUCCUACGGGAGGCAGCAGUAGGGAAUCUUCCGCAAUGGGCGAAAGCCUGACGGAGCAACGCCGCGUGAGUGAUGAAGGUCUUCGGAUCGUAAAACUCUGUUAUUCGGGAAGAACAAAUGUGUAAGUAACUAUGCACGUCUUGACGGUACCUAAUCAGAAAGCCACGGCUAACUACGUG